GGUUAACUGUUGUUGGGUGCCGUUGGUGCUGCAAACGAAAGUCAUCUGCUGUAGAAGCUCGGACGAGAACUGCCUGUUGGAGAAGUCCAGUAGGAGUCCGAUUGUUGGAGAAGUCUAUUUGGAAUUUGUAUGAUGUAGAAGCUUGUCUGAAGAAUUGUCUGCUGGAGAGGUCCGAUUGCACAAGGAAUCUGACUGAAGGUCGAUCGAUAGAAGAGUUCGAAAGGCGUUGUAGAAGUUCAUCCACUGGAGGAGUCUAGAAAAUCCUGUGAA
Molecule: long non-coding RNA, 270 nt
Filed under: Elaeis guineensis (African oil palm)
Lineage: Eukaryota; Viridiplantae; Streptophyta; Magnoliopsida; Arecales; Arecaceae
Description: long non-coding RNA (EGUI_LNC070224)
Source: RNAcentral